This 170-nucleotide non-coding RNA is filed under the name Chloroflexota bacterium. RNAcentral describes it as "Chloroflexi bacterium (oil production facility metagenome) 6S RNA". It matches the Rfam family "6S / SsrS RNA". Rfam says of the family: E. coli 6S RNA was the first non coding RNA to be sequenced, but its function was unknown until recently. Lineage: Bacteria; Bacillati; Chloroflexota. The record is from RNAcentral.
UAAUCCCUGUGGUGUGCGUGAUGCCUUUUUGGUAUUGAUCCAACACCUUAAGCAAGGGGGCCGUUCUCGUGAGAGGCGGCAGGGGCCUUGAGUGUCCUCGUCUCCGGUAGGCGCCCACUUGACUCCAGAGGUUCACAUACUGAUAAGGCACACGGCACUAUGGGGGUUAC